RNAcentral lists this ribosomal RNA (445 nucleotides) under uncultured bacterium. RNAcentral's name for it is "partial 16S ribosomal RNA". It matches the Rfam family "Bacterial small subunit ribosomal RNA", at positions 354 to 796 of the family's 1533-position model. The record is from RNAcentral.
GUGAGGAAUAUUGGUCAAUGGGCGGGAGCCUGAACCAGCCAAGUCGCGUGAAGGAAGAAAGAUCUAUGGUUCGUAAACUUCUUUUGCAGGGGAAUAAAGUGCAGGACGUGUCCUGUUUUGUAUGUACCCUGAGAAUAAGGAUCGGCUAACUCCGUGCCAGCAGCCGCGGUAAUACGGAGGAUCCGAGCGUUAUCCGGAUUUAUUGGGUUUAAAGGGUGCGUAGGUGGUUUGAUAAGUCAGCGGUGAAAGUUUGUAGCUUAACUGUAAAAAUGCCGUUGAAACUGUCGGACUUGAGUGUAAAUGAGGUAGGCGGAAUGCGUGGUGUAGCGGUGAAAUGCAUAGAUAUCACGCAGAACUCCGAUUGCGAAGGCAGCUUACUAAGCUACAACUGACACUGAAGCACGAAAGCGUGGGGAUCAAACAGGAUUAGAUACCCUGGUAGUCC